This 253-nucleotide ribosomal RNA is filed under the name uncultured bacterium. RNAcentral's name for it is "partial 16S ribosomal RNA". It matches the Rfam family "Bacterial small subunit ribosomal RNA", at positions 524 to 776 of the family's 1533-position model. The record is from RNAcentral.
CACGUAGGGGGCAAGCGUUGUCCGGAUUUAUUGGGCGUAAAGAGCUCGUAGGCGGUCUGUCGCGUCGGCUGUGAAAUCCCGGAGCUCAACUCCGGGUCUGCAGUCGAUACGGGCAGACUAGAGUUCGGCAGGGGAGACUGGAAUUCCUGGUGUAGCGGUGAAAUGCGCAGAUAUCAGGAGGAACACCGGUGGCGAAGGCGGGUCUCUGGGCCGAUACUGACGCUGAGGAGCGAAAGCGUGGGGAGCGAACAGG